Molecule: long non-coding RNA, 1931 nt
Organism: Cercocebus atys (sooty mangabey)
Lineage: Eukaryota; Metazoa; Chordata; Mammalia; Primates; Cercopithecidae
Exons: 2
Source: RefSeq, a predicted model, not a curated record
GGGGCCCCGCUGGCGCCCGGGCCAGCUCUCGGGUACGCGUCUUGUAGAUGGGUAAACUGAGGCCUGAGAGGGCGCGAGGGCGAGGACGAGGACUUGGGUUCGAAUCCCGGGGCUGCCAGUAGCCCACUCCGAGGCCGCGUGGGGCUGGUGGAGGAGCCACCGGUCGGGCCCCCAAGACCGACUGACGUGGCCCUCACCUCUGGCGACCCCCGCCCGGCUAGUGGCUGGCCGUGUGGUGACCUUGGGCGAGUUACUUCGCACCGCCACCCAGGGGCCUCUUCUCCAACAGGAUAGCACUGCACCGAGAGGGUAGGUGACAGUCGUGUUAGCGCUUGGAUGCCCUAGUGAGUGUCAGCGUCCUCAGUCGUCCCUGCGGUCAUCCCUUCAACAGAGGUGGAGCCUCGCUUUGUCCCCUAGGUCGGAGUGCAGUGGCGCCAUCGUAGCUCACCGUAACCUCAAAUUACUGGGCUCAAGUGAUCCUCCUGCCUCAGCCUCCCAAAGCGCUGGAACUACAGGCGUGAACCACUGCGCCUGGCACACAAUUGGUUUAACCACCACAUCAUUUUAGCAGCUUAGGAAACCGAAGUCUUGACUUCUAUUUUGGCUAUUGAAAAUACAGUGCAAUAUAAAUCCCGAAACCUCUGCUGAGCUGGAUGUGGAGUGUGUGUGGCAUCAUUUAGAACAUGGCAAUCUUCAGGUCACACAGGAAUGUCUUGUUAAUGAUACUUCUAUGAACAAUGCUCCUUGGAGGAAAGUCCACCUCAGCAAGGCUGGAGCAGCAGACGGGACAGCUGAGCCUGGGUUACUUGCCUUGCCUCUGGAAUAGGUCUUAGAGCAUUGGACUGAAGAGGGUCUGCCUCCUUUUAUCCUGGUGUUGGUCUCAGUAUCCGUCUGCCCAUUCUUGAGAAAUGGAAAUGGUCAGAAUCUAUCCAGGUUCUGAUCUGCAUCCCUGUGUCUAAUUUAAACUUUUAUUCCAUGACGUUUUGGGGAGUACCUGUCUCAUGAAGAGCCCUGAGGUUACAAGGAUAAUUAGAGCCUAAAUCUAAGGAGCCCAUAGUUGGGGAAACUAGUAUGUCAAUAGCUAAUGAGAGCACAGUGUUGUAAGUGCUCAUACCAGUUUUCUAUUCCUGCGUAACAAAUUAGCCCAAAUUUUGCAGCUUAAAGCAACACCAUUGAUUUACUCACAGUUGUGUAGGUCAGAAAACUGACAUGGUGUGGCUGAGUUUUCUGCUCGUGGUGUCAUAGGCUGAAAUCAAGAUGUCUAGAGACUCUGCGAGGGAAAGGUCUGCCCCAGGCUCCUUCAGGCUGUUGGCAGAAUUCAUGUCCCUGUAGGACUAGGAUCCCACAGCUACAUUGUUUUGCCAGAUCUCUGUUGGAGACCACUCUCAGGUCCUUGCCACAUGGUCCCUUUUAUCUCAUCAACAGAGAACCUCAUGUCAAUCCUCUCAUUCAUUAAAUAUCUCUGAUUUCCCUUCUUCAACCAGUCAGAGAACACGGUGAGCUUUUAAAAGACUUGUAAUUAGGUCAGACCCACCUAGCUAAUCUUCCUACUUUAAGGUCACCUGUGCCACAUCACAUACCCUAAUCACAGGAGUAAAAUUCAUCAUAGCCACUGUCCCAGGGACUAUGCAGAAGGUGUACAUGAAGGUUAAUCUAGGAGGCUACCUUAGAAUUCUGCCUACUACAUCCAGUGAGAAAUGUUCUCUUAAACAUUUUCUCUAUGAACUCCCCUAGCAGUUUGUUCUGUAACUCUGUCCAUGGCACAAUAUAUGUUGCCAUUAUUGGGGUAUAUUUCUAAACCUCUUUUCUAGGCUGAAAGCUUCUUGAGAUCAGGAACCUUAGUCACACCUGUAGCCUUAGAUAAGUCUUGGCAUGAGGGUGAUAUUCCCACAUCUGCUAAAAAUAAAUAAAUAAAUAGUAUGCGUAUUGUC